RNAcentral lists this ribosomal RNA (719 nucleotides) under uncultured fungus. Its description in RNAcentral is "eukaryotic LSU rRNA". The stretch from base 286 to 439 matches the Rfam family "5.8S ribosomal RNA". Lineage: Eukaryota; Fungi. The record is from RNAcentral.
AGGAUCAUUAUCGAAUUGUUAAAACUUGGCUGUCGCUGGCUCUUUCUUUCUUGAAAUCGCAUGUGCACGCCUAGUUUACACUUUUCAUUCUAACCUCCUGUGCACUUUUGUGGAUCGUGGGUAGAUAAAAUUUGUCAAAGUCAUAUUUGGUUUUGGGGAUUGCGCGCUCCGCUUUCCCCUACUUAUUUGUCCCACGGUUCAUGUCUUUUGACUACAAACUAUUAAAUAUAAACCUAGAAUGUCUAACAAGUUGGAACUUUGGUGUUCCUUCUUAAAAUCUUAUACAACUUUCAACAACGGAUCUCUUGGCUCUCGCAUCGAUGAAGAACGCAGCGAAAUGCGAUAAGUAAUGUGAAUUGCAGAUUUCAGUGAAUCAUCGAGUCUUUGAACGCACCUUGCACCCUGUGGUAUUCCACAGGGUAUGCCCGUUUGAGUAUCAUUAUAUUAUCAACCGCCAAAAUCUUUGUGUUCUUGGUGGCUUGGUCUUGAGGGUUAUUGCAGGCUCCUUUGUCAGUCAGCUCCCUUUAAAUCUAUUAGCGAGACUUCCCUAUGCUGAACUCAUAAUCUUGACGUGAUAAGUCUAUCUGCGUUUUGGAGUUCUCAUUGGGCUUGCUUCUAAUCGGUCUGGUUUUGGACAAUUGGAAUUGAGUGCAUAUAUGCGCUUUUUUUUCAAACCCAUUUUUGAUCUCAAAUCGGGUAGGACUACCCGCUGAACUUAA